GUGUUUGAUGAAGCUGACAUGCUUCUCUGUGGAAGUUUCCAGAACCAAGUCAUUCGUCUCAUUAAUAUGCUGCGGUUCGAUGAGAAAUUACUGUCUCGGAAGAAAAAUUCUGUCCCCCAUCAACCCAUAGCAACGAAUCCUGAUUCUGCGCUUCCCUCUGUUUUGGAAGACGAUGAAGAAAUAGAAUCGGUUGCUUACAUGAGCAGUUUAGAUGAAGAGGAAGAUUCUGAGGAUGUUGAUCCCCCCCAUCAACCCCUAGCAAUGAGUCCUGAUUCUGCGCUUCCCUCUGUUUUGGAAGAAGAUGAACAAAUAGAAUCGGUUGCUUACAUGAGCAGUUCAGAUGAAGAGGAAGAUUCUGAGGAUGUUGAUCCUGC
This 374-nucleotide long non-coding RNA is filed under the name Eucalyptus grandis. RNAcentral describes it as "long non-coding RNA (EGRA_LNC001093)". Lineage: Eukaryota; Viridiplantae; Streptophyta; Magnoliopsida; Myrtales; Myrtaceae. The record is from RNAcentral.